This 405-nucleotide ribosomal RNA is filed under the name uncultured bacterium. RNAcentral describes it as "partial 16S ribosomal RNA". It matches the Rfam family "Bacterial small subunit ribosomal RNA", at positions 28 to 526 of the family's 1533-position model. The record is from RNAcentral.
GACGAACGCUGGCGGCGUGCUUAACACAUGCAAGUCGAGCGGAGCGGCGAAAGGGAGAAUAACCCGUGAGUAACUGACCCCCUCUCUGGGAAAACAGUUGGAAACGACUGCAAAUAGCGAAUAGUGGGGGGUGACUCGCGUCCAAUCGGCGUGUUGGUCGGGGAGUGGCCUACCAGGGUGACGACGGAUCGCCGGCCUGAGAGGGCGACCGGCCCCAAUGGGCUGAGAUACGGACCAAACGCCAAUGGGAGGCAACGGUCGGAAAUAUGGCACAAUGAGGGAAACCGUGAUGCGGCAACGCCGCGUGCGGAAUGACGGCUUUCGAGUUGUAAACCGCUUUCAGCCAUACUGCGGUAGUGACAGAGGAAGCACCGGCUAACUACGUGCCAGCCGCCGCGGUAAUUC